CAAGGCUUGACAUAUACCGGAAACGCGCAGAGAUGUACGCCCCCUUGUGGUCGGUAUACAGGUGGUGCAUGGUUGUCGUCAGCUCGUGUCGUGAGAUGUUGGGUUAAGUCCCGCAACGAGCGCAACCCUUGUCCUGUGUUGCCAGCAUGCCCUUCGGGGUGAUGGGGACUCACGGGAGAUUGCCGGGGUCAACUCGGAGGAAGGUGGGGACGACGUCAAGUCAUCAUGCCCCUUAUGUCUUGGGCUGCACACGUGCUACAAUGGCCGGUACAAUGAGCUGCGAUACCGUGAGGUGGAGCGAAUCUCAAAAAGCCGGUCUCAGUUCGGAUUGGGGUCUGCAACUCGACCCCAUGAAGUCGGAGUCUCUAGUAAUCGCAGAUCAGCAUUGCUGCGGUGAAUA
RNAcentral lists this ribosomal RNA (400 nucleotides) under uncultured soil bacterium. Its description in RNAcentral is "bacterial SSU rRNA". It matches the Rfam family "Bacterial small subunit ribosomal RNA", at positions 975 to 1368 of the family's 1533-position model. The record is from RNAcentral.